This 658-nucleotide ribosomal RNA is filed under the name Ramaria sp. BHS2009-23. Its description in RNAcentral is "eukaryotic LSU rRNA". The stretch from base 242 to 396 matches the Rfam family "5.8S ribosomal RNA". The record is from RNAcentral. Lineage: Eukaryota; Fungi; Basidiomycota; Agaricomycetes; Gomphales; Gomphaceae.
UCUUGGUCAUUUUAGAGGAAGUAAAAGUCGUAACAAGGUUUCCGUAGGUGAACCUGCGGAAGGAUCAUUAUAGUAAAUUGACCCCGAGGUUGGAUGCCGUGCCUGUGAGAGGGCACGUGCGCACCUCUCUCACACACCCCUUGGUCGGGGAUGCCUUUCGGGGUGUUCCCUUCCACCCCAUACCCCAUCCUGUCUAACCGCAUGUCUUUUGAAGCUCUACGGAGCGAGCGAUGUUUUGUACAACUUUCAACAACGGAUCUCUUGGCUUUUGCAUCGAUGAAGGACGCCGCGAAAGCGCGAAACGUAAUGUGAAUUGCAGAAUUCAGUGAAUCAUCGAAUCUUUGAACGCAUCUUGCGCUCCUCGGUAUUCCGAGGAGCAUGCCUGUUUGAGUGUCGUGACAACCACUCGACCCCUCCUUUAGGUGCACAUGAAGGAGGCGGUCGGAUUUGGACGCUUGCGGCGGUCCGAUGAGACCCCGCCGCUCGUCUUAAAUACAUUAGCUGGCCCCUUUCGAGUCGGCGAGAUGGACGGUGUGAUAAAUUGACGACUUGGAUCGCCGUUUGGCCGAUUUGGUUUGGGUUUGCUCGUCUUCGGACAACGUCAAUGUCAAUCUGACCUCAAAUCAGGUAGGACUACCCGCUGAACUUAAGCAUAUCA